AACGAACGCUGGCGGCAGGCCUAACACAUGCAAGUCGAGCGAACCCUUCGGGGUUAGCGGCGGACGGGUUAGUAACGCGUGGGAAUAUACCCUUUGGUACGGAAUAGCCUCGGGAAACUGAGAGUAAUACCGUAUGUGCCCUUCGGGGGAAAGAUUUAUCGCCAAAGGAUUAGCCCGCGUUGGAUUAGAUAGUUGGUGGGGUAAUGGCCUACCAAGUCUACGAUCCAUAGCUGGUUUGAGAGGAUGAUCAGCAACACUGGGACUGAGACACGGCCCAGACUCCUACGGGAGGCAGCAGUGGGGAAUCUUAGACAAUGGGCGCAAGCCUGAUCUAGCCAUGCCGCGUGGACGAUGAAGGCCUUAGGGUUGUAAAGCUCUUUCAGUGGGGAAGAUAAUGACUGUACCCACAGAAGAAGCCCCGGCUAACUCCGUG
This 433-nucleotide ribosomal RNA is filed under the name uncultured bacterium. RNAcentral's name for it is "bacterial SSU rRNA". It matches the Rfam family "Bacterial small subunit ribosomal RNA", at positions 29 to 507 of the family's 1533-position model. The record is from RNAcentral.